CAACGCGUGAAAGAAUGGAGGGAAGAUCACCCUUCUCAAAUCAAACAGUAAACUAAUCUGCUCCGCUUGGUCAUGUUGUCUACAAGCAAGCUAGUUGCAUCGUCCAGAAACAUACAUCACUUUUCCAUAAAAUAAGUGUUUAAAUUGUAAAACUAGUUUUCACUGGGAAGGCAGAUAACACGUUAUCAAAAGCAGUCACUUCUGCAUGUGAAAACACUGAAUCCUACUCAUCACUCCACGUGAUUAUUAUUUGUUUUGAGCCGACUUUGCCGUCGGCCAGAGCGSGAGGCAGSCCGGUUCCAAACCGAAUSCAAUCACUUUUUACCCGGUUCAAAUUCCUCCCACCGGGGUAACCCGGGARAGAAAAAUAAACCCAUAGAAUAGGGCUCCGUCUCCCCCAAAACGUUCAAAUCAAAAGGAUCAACUGCCGUUUGAGACUGAACAUCCCUAUACGGAUUGACCAACCAGUGGUGACCAAGUGUAAGACUGAUCCCCGGGUCAUGAACGGAUGCCGGGAUACCAGAGAAGCAAAAGUCUCCCUCAACUCCUAUGAAAAGGACACGCUAUCAUGAGGCCUCUGAUAGUGACCCGAGUUACUGCCCUGAUCAACAACGACAGCUGGACUGGAGAUGCUUUUGCCAGACGGCAGCCUCAGUCGUUUGAUGGGGAGACCCAUAGUAGGAAACAUGUAUGGAGCCAGGACAUGGAGACUUGCAAGAU
Long non-coding RNA from Salvelinus sp. IW2-2015, 720 nucleotides. RefSeq lists it as uncharacterized. The record is from RefSeq and is a predicted model, not a curated record. Lineage: Eukaryota; Metazoa; Chordata; Actinopteri; Salmoniformes; Salmonidae.